UACGUAGGGUGCAAGCGUUAUCCGGAAUUAUUGGGCGUAAAGAGCUCGUAGGCGGUUUGUCGCGUCUGCUGUGAAAACUGGGGGCUCAACCCCAGCCUGCAGUGGGUACGGGCAGACUAGAGUGCGGUAGGGGAGAAUGGAAUUCCUGGUGUAGCGGUGGAAUGCGCAGGAUAUCAGGAGGAACACCGAUGGCGAAGGCAGUUCUCUGGGCCGUAACUGACGCUGAGGAGCGAAAGCGUGGGGAGCGAACAG
Molecule: ribosomal RNA, 252 nt
Filed under: uncultured bacterium
Lineage: Bacteria
Description: partial 16S ribosomal RNA
Rfam family: Bacterial small subunit ribosomal RNA
Source: RNAcentral